Molecule: ribosomal RNA, 253 nt
Filed under: uncultured bacterium
Lineage: Bacteria
Description: partial 16S ribosomal RNA
Rfam family: Bacterial small subunit ribosomal RNA
Source: RNAcentral
UACAGAGGGUGCAAGCGUUAAUCGGAUUUACUGGGCGUAAAGCGUGCGUAGGCGGUUCGCUAAGUCGGUUGUGAAAUCCCUGGGCUUAACCUGGGGACUGCAGUCGAUACUGGCGGACUAGAGUACGGUAGAGGGUGGCGGAACUCCGGGUGUAGCGGUGAAAUGCGUAGAUAUCUGGAGGAACACCGGUGGCGAAGGCGGCAUCCUGGACCGGCAUUGACGCUGAGGCGCGAAAGCCAGGGGAGCAAACGGG